UAAAUAAGGAAAACUUUAGGACUUAUAAAGACAUGAAGCAAAUUAUAGCCAUAUACGGUAAUAGUUGAAUGCAAUUUUUACCGGACAUCUUUUCCUUCGAAAUCGAAUUUUCGAUCGAUUUUAAUAAAGUUCGGAGGAGAUCAUGGUGGAUUAAUGAAGGUGGUCUCACUCAACGGUUCUCUUUGUUUGAGUUUCUCUUUCUCUCAUUUAACUGGCACACGUACGCAAACGAGGGCAAGUUUCUUUGGUUGUGUUGAGAACAAUGCCAAUGACAUCUUGAUGACGAGAUGGCGGAUUGAACUACUUGAUUUGUGGUUGCUAAACAAAUGAGACCACCUUUAAUUGUUUCGCCAUGGGAGGAGAAAUAAGCGGCAUCAUUUAAGCAGAACGUAGAUGGCUCGUCGUAAAUAUUGGUCAAAAUUUAUUUUUUUGAAAUAUAUAUCAUUUAUAGUUGCUUCAUUUUUCAAAUUGUUUACAUAAAAUUUUAUGAAAAUAAAAGUCAUUUUAAACCAA
Molecule: long non-coding RNA, 513 nt
Organism: Stomoxys calcitrans (stable fly)
Lineage: Eukaryota; Metazoa; Arthropoda; Insecta; Diptera; Muscidae
Exons: 2
Source: RefSeq, a predicted model, not a curated record